Pelobates cultripes (western spadefoot toad) is the source of this 247-nucleotide non-coding RNA. Lineage: Eukaryota; Metazoa; Chordata; Amphibia; Anura; Pelobatidae. The record is from the annotation of a GenBank genome assembly.
GGGGGGGCCGGCGGGGCUGGGGGGGGAUUUCCCCAUAACCUGUCCCCCCCGCAUGAUUUGCUGGGGGGGAUGCGUCCCCCCCAUCCCCCCCGGUUCCUACGCCCAUGGUUAGAAGGGGAGGACAGGUCGACAUAUGUUUUUUCAGGAUAAGUACUAUAGUGGCAUGUUUAAGGUCAGAAGGGACAAUGCCAGAAGAGAGAGAGCAGUUGAAGAUGUGUGUUAAGGAAGGCACAAGACAAUGGGAGAG